UCGAGUAGGGCCCAAGCCAGCCAGGAAGGAGGAGGCAGCCAGAGUGUUCUCUGCAGCAGAAGACCCCUUGCGGCCCUGCUUAACCCAGACCAGCAUUUGCCAGGUUCAAAGAUACCAACUGCAUCCUUGGACUAGGACUUAGAGACAAGAGUUCCUUAUUAAUCAUGCAUGAUGAGACCUUCACAGCCUGAUGCCCACAUAUCUCAGAGAUCACCUCUUCUCCCACUUCUCCCCAUACCUAUAUUGUUCAUCUGCUCAAGCCCUUCUGCAGAUUCCAUCAUUGUAGGAGAGACAGUCGGGCCAAGCUUAUGUUCCCUCUACUUCACAAGGACCCUGGUCUCCCAAGUCAUGUCCACACCCAGUUGGUGCUUUCAGAUGAAGACCCAGCCUUCACGUAUAGCACUGGCAAGUUCUGUGUGGCAAGAAAGAAGAGCAAACAAACAAACCCGUGAACAAAAAAAUAAAUGAACCAACUCUCAACACACUGAAGACAAUCAACUGAUAUGGAAUAGACUGAUGUGAAAUAUGUAACAAAGAUCGUUUUAGUGAAAUUGACAAAGCCGCCUGGCCAUAUGUAGUCACUCAAGACACAGAAAUUAAAUAACUGAAUUCAACAUAGAAAUGCAGCAUACAGAACCAAAAAAUCUACAGAACAACAAUAUGAAAAACUGAUAAAUGGUAUAUAUAGGUAUCCAGGCAGAGUCCAAGAUGUUUUCUGGAUAAGGAAAUGUGAUAAGUACACACAGUUCAGGUCACGAGUCCUUUAAUUUAAAAAAAGCAAGCAACAUGCUCUGUGAUGUAUGCAGUACGGAGCAUAAGUCCUUAAAUCAUCAUAAGUCCUUAACACAGGAAAAGGCCUUGACUGCCAGUUCAUACCCUUGUAUCAGCUCUGCAUAGCUUUAAACUACUGACUAUUUAAUCUUUUCUAGUGCCCCUAUUUAGAUGUCUUAUUUUAUAUACUCAAUUUUAGCCUUUUUGCAUUUUAUAUAUUUCACAUUUUAUAUGUUCUUUUUAAAAAAUACAGCUGUUUAAUAAUCUGACAGCUACCCUCUUUUCUAAGGGUAGCAGCUCUAUAGUAUUGUAAUACAGUUUUAUCAUAUUAGAGUAGUAACUUUAAAGUAGUAUAGUUUUAUGGUUCCAUAAUUUGCUUCUAUUAUUAUAAAUCAUGCUCUACUGUUCUGUCUUAUGCUGGUCUUUGACUAUAAUAAAGAUGAUUGAUUGAUUGAUUGAUUGAU
Long non-coding RNA from Hemicordylus capensis (graceful crag lizard), 1235 nucleotides. RefSeq lists it as uncharacterized. Lineage: Eukaryota; Metazoa; Chordata; Lepidosauria; Squamata; Cordylidae. The transcript has 3 exons. The record is from RefSeq and is a predicted model, not a curated record.